CCAACGGUAGCAAAUGGAGUGGCUAACGAUUAACUCUUCAAUAUACGACGAUUUAGAUGGUUAAAAAAUUAUUUUAAACGAAUUACUAAAGCAGCGCACUAUUUUAAGAAGAGGACUUGGGUGAUAAAUAAGCGGAGAAGCCCACAAAGAAGUUGUCCUCAGUUUUAAACUUUGAUAAUUCAGUGCAUUGCUGCUGAAUAAUAGUUGUCAACGUCUUGUAAUCAUGCCACGUGAUGUCGCUGUUGGCUACCGAACUUAGGCUAAGAUAUGUUUUGGUUAGACCUUGGGUGAAGUGA
This is a long non-coding RNA of Syngnathus typhle (broad-nosed pipefish), 296 nucleotides long. RefSeq lists it as uncharacterized. The record is from RefSeq and is a predicted model, not a curated record. NCBI's taxonomy places the organism in Eukaryota, Metazoa, Chordata, Actinopteri, Syngnathiformes, Syngnathidae. The transcript is spliced from 3 exons.